GGGUUGUGAGGUUAAGCGACUAAGCGUACACGGUGGAUGCCCUGGCAGUCAGAGGCGAUGAAGGGCGUGCUAAUCUGCGAUAAGCGCCGGUAAGGUGAUAUGAACCGUUAUAACCGGCGAUACCCGAAUGGGGAAACCCAGUGUGACUCGUCACACUAUCAUUAACUGAAUCCAUAGGUUAAUGAGGCGAACCGGGGGAACUGAAACAUCUAAGUACCCCGAGGAAAAGAAAUCAACCGAGAUUCCCCCAGUAGCGGCGAGCGAACGGGGAGGAGCCCAGAGCCUGAAUCAGCAUGUGUGUUAGUGGAAGCGUCUGGAAAGGCGCGCGAUACAGGGUGACAGCCCCGUACACAAAAGCGCAUGUGCUGUGAGCUCGAUGAGUAGGGCGGGACACGUGGUAUCCUGUCUGAAUAUGGGGGGACCAUCCUCCAAGGCUAAAUACUCCUGACUGACCGAUAGUGAACCAGUACCGUGAGGGAAAGGCGAAAAGAACCCCGGCGAGGGGAGUGAAAAAGAACCUGAAACCGUGUACGUACAAGCAGUGGGAGCACCCUUUGGGGUGUGACUGCGUACCUUUUGUAUAAUGGGUCAGCGACUUAUAUUCUGUAGCAAGGUUAACCGAAUAGGGGAGCCGGAGGGAAACCGAGUCUUAAUUGGGCGUUAAGUUGCAGGGUAUAGACCCGAAACCCGGUGAUCUAGCCAUGGGCAGGUUGAAGGUUGGGUAACACUAACUGGAG
Molecule: ribosomal RNA, 737 nt
Filed under: Salmonella enterica subsp. enterica serovar Bovismorbificans
Lineage: Bacteria; Pseudomonadati; Pseudomonadota; Gammaproteobacteria; Enterobacterales; Enterobacteriaceae
Description: partial 23S ribosomal RNA
Rfam family: Bacterial large subunit ribosomal RNA
Source: RNAcentral